This 448-nucleotide ribosomal RNA is filed under the name uncultured bacterium. RNAcentral describes it as "SSU rRNA". It matches the Rfam family "Bacterial small subunit ribosomal RNA", at positions 26 to 521 of the family's 1533-position model. The record is from RNAcentral.
AGAACGAACGCUGGCGGCAGGCCUAACACAUGCAAGUCGAACGCUCUAGCAAUAGAGAGUGGCGCACGGGUGCGUAACGCGUGGGAAUCUACCCUUGACUGCGGAACAACAUCGGGAAACUGAUGCUAAUACCGCAUAAUGUCUUCGGACCAAAGAUUUAUCGGUCAAGGAUAAGCCCGCGUUGGAUUAGCUAGUUGGUGAGGUAAUGGCUCACCAAGGCUCCGAUCCAUAGCUGGUCUGAGAGGAUGAUCAGCCACACUGGGACUGAGACACGGCCCAGACUCCUACGGGAGGCAGCAGUGAGGAAUAUUGGACAAUGGGGGCAACCCUGAUCCAGCCAUGCCGCGUGAGUGAUGAAGGCCUUCGGUUGUAAACUCUUUUAGAUGUGACGAUGAUGACGGUAACAUCAAGAAAAGCUACCGGCUAACUUCGCGCCAGCAGCCGCGGU